CUCUGUGUUACGGGAUGAAUUGGAUGUUGCCGAUAAAGCAACGUUUUUGACGUUACCGUAGUAGAAAGCCCCAGCUAACUACGUGCCAGCAGCUGCGGUAAUACGUAGGGGGCAAGCGUUGUCCGGAAUCACUGGGCGUAAAGCGCGCGUAGGCGGUGGAGUAAGUCAGACGUGAAAGGGUUCGGCUCAACCGAGCCAUUGCGUUUGAUACUACCUCACUUGAGUCUAGAAGAGGAAAGUGGAAUGUAUGGUGUAGCGGUGGAAUGCUUAGAUAUCAUAUAGAACACCCGUGGCGAAGGCGGCUUUCUGGUCUAAGACUGACGCUCAUGCGCGAAAGUUUGGGGAGCAACCGGGAUUAGAUACCCCGCUAGUCCUUACUGUAAACGAUGGGUACUAAGUGUAGGGGGAUUCAAUCCCUCUGUGCUGUAGCUAACGCAUUAAGUACCCCGCCUGGGGAGUACGGCCGCAAGGUUAAAACUCAAGGUAAUUGACGGGGGGCCGCACAAGCGGUGGAGCAUGUCGCUUAAUUCGAAGCAACGCGAAGAACCUUACCAGGGCUUGACAUCGCAGUGACCGCUAUAGAAAUAUAGUUUUCCUUC
RNAcentral lists this ribosomal RNA (599 nucleotides) under uncultured Poribacteria bacterium. RNAcentral's name for it is "bacterial SSU rRNA". It matches the Rfam family "Bacterial small subunit ribosomal RNA", at positions 431 to 1020 of the family's 1533-position model. Lineage: Bacteria; Candidatus Poribacteria. The record is from RNAcentral.